GUGGGGAAUAUUGGGCAAUGGGCGAAAGCCUGACCCAGCAACGCCGCGUGAAGGAAGAAGGUUUUCGGAUCGUAAACUUCUAUCCUUGGUAAAGAUAAUGACGGUAGCCAAGAAGGAAGCCCCGGCUAACUACGUGCCAGCAGCCGCGGUAAUACGUAGGGGGCAAGCGUUGUCCGGAAUGAUUGGGCGUAAAGGGCGCGUAGGCGGCCCGGUAAGUCUGAAGUGAAAGCCCUGCUUUUAAGGUGGGAAUUGCUUUGGAUACUGUCGGGCUUGAGUGCAGGAGAGGUAAGCGGAAUUCCCGGUGUAGCGGUGAAAUGCGUAGAGAUCGGGAGGAACACCAGUGGCGAAGGCGGCUUACUGGACUGUAACUGACGCUGAGGCGCGAAAGUGUGGGGAGCAAACAGGAUUAGAAACCCUUGUAGUCC
Molecule: ribosomal RNA, 425 nt
Filed under: uncultured bacterium
Lineage: Bacteria
Description: partial 16S ribosomal RNA
Rfam family: Bacterial small subunit ribosomal RNA
Source: RNAcentral